AACGCACGAGACCUGCGGACCUGCGGAGGGAUCAUUACUGAGAGUUACAACUAUAAACCCUUGUGAACCAUCUACGUUGCUGCUUCGGCAGGUAAUCCCAGGGCGGGAUUCUAGGCUUCUUAGGGGGCACCUGCCAGCGGUAUACUCUUUCAAACUCUGAAAUUACAGCGUAAUUCUGAGUGUUAAAAAAAAUAAAUUAAAACUUUUAACAAUGGAUCUCU
Molecule: unclassified non-coding RNA, 221 nt
Filed under: soil metagenome
Description: partial contains 5.8S ribosomal RNA, internal transcribed spacer 2, and large subunit ribosomal RNA
Source: RNAcentral